CGGGCUAUAGCGCAGCCUGGUAGCGCGUUCGUCUGGGGGACGAGAGGUCGCAGGUUCGAAUCCUGCUAGCCCGA
RNAcentral lists this transfer RNA (74 nucleotides) under Rhodobacterales bacterium HTCC2255. It matches the Rfam family "tRNA". Rfam says of the family: Transfer RNA (tRNA) molecules are approximately 80 nucleotides in length. Their secondary structure includes four short double-helical elements and three loops (D, anti-codon, and T loops). Lineage: Bacteria; Pseudomonadati; Pseudomonadota; Alphaproteobacteria; Rhodobacterales. The record is from Rfam by way of RNAcentral.